GAUGAAGAACGUAGCGAAAUGCGAUAAGUAGUGUGAAUUUCAGAAUUCAGUGAAUCAUCGAAUCUUUGAACGCACAUUGCGCCCCUUGGUAUUCCAUGGGGCAUGCCUGUUCGAGCGUCAUUUGUACCUUCAAGCUUUGCUUGGUGUUGGGUGUUUGUCUCGCCUUUGCGUGUAGACUCGCCUUAAAAUAAUUGGCAGCCGGCGUAUUGAUUUCGGAGCGCAGUACAUCUCGCGCUUUGCACUCAUAACGACAGCGUCCAAAAGUACAUUUUACACUCUUGACCUCGGAUCAGGUAGGGAUACCCGCUGAACUUAAGCAUAUCAAUAAGCGGAGGA
This 336-nucleotide unclassified non-coding RNA is filed under the name soil metagenome. RNAcentral's name for it is "partial contains 5.8S ribosomal RNA, internal transcribed spacer 2, and large subunit ribosomal RNA". The stretch from base 1 to 120 matches the Rfam family "5.8S ribosomal RNA", at positions 35 to 154 of the family's 154-position model. The record is from RNAcentral.